RNAcentral lists this ribosomal RNA (754 nucleotides) under uncultured Anaerococcus sp. RNAcentral describes it as "partial 16S ribosomal RNA". The stretch from base 4 to 570 matches the Rfam family "Bacterial small subunit ribosomal RNA", at positions 31 to 542 of the family's 1533-position model. The record is from RNAcentral. Lineage: Bacteria; Bacillati; Bacillota; Tissierellia; Tissierellales; Peptoniphilaceae.
GACGAACGCUGGCGGCGUGCUUAACACAUGCAAGUCGAACGCUGAAGCCCAGCUUGCUGGGUGGAUGAGUGGCGAACGGGUGAGUAACACGUGAGUAACCUGCCCCCUUCUUUGGGAUAACGCCCGGAAACGGGUGCUAAUACUGGAUAUUCACUGGCCUUCGCAUGGGGGUUGGUGGAAAGGUUUUUUCUGGUGGGGGAUGGGCUCCCCUUCUAUCAGCUUGUUGGUGGGGUGAUGGCCUACCAAGGCUUUGACGGCGGCUGCUGGCACGUAGGUGACCGGUCCUUUUGGGUCUGAUACCGUCAUUAUACUCCUUUCCAGGUGCAGUGGGGAAUAUUGCACAAUGGGGGAAAGCGGAUGCAUGACUCCUCGUGAGGGAUGACGGCCUUCGUCUUGUAUGCUCCUUCUCAAGAACAAGCCACAGCUUUGGGUUGUGGUGAGGGGGUGGUGCAUCAAGCCCGGUGAGUCCUAGUUCCCUCGGAAGGCCGUUACCCUUCCACCUCUUGGUUAGCAGGCACCCCCCCCUCUAACUGAUACAUCUUUUGUCCAUCUGGUAUGUGUGCAAGUGCUCUUUUGAAGCAAAUGUCAUGCAAUUGCAAACGGUAUCCCCCUGUAGCAGAUCGGGUUGAAUAGUUAUCACUCCGCUACUAGGCACUUUCCCUACUACUUUCCUCCCCCGAUGGAAACUCACGCAGAAUCACGAUGCCCUUCCCUUCAGCGAAUCAACUCGCCCGGCGUAGGCCCGCAGCCAUAG